This 255-nucleotide ribosomal RNA is filed under the name Salmonella enterica subsp. enterica serovar Newport. RNAcentral's name for it is "partial 23S ribosomal RNA". It matches the Rfam family "Bacterial large subunit ribosomal RNA", at positions 12 to 266 of the family's 2925-position model. Lineage: Bacteria; Pseudomonadati; Pseudomonadota; Gammaproteobacteria; Enterobacterales; Enterobacteriaceae. The record is from RNAcentral. RNAcentral also lists the same sequence under 1 other name.
CUAAGCGUACACGGUGGAUGCCCUGGCAGUCAGAGGCGAUGAAGGGCGUGCUAAUCUGCGAUAAGCGCCGGUAAGGUGAUAUGAACCGUUAUAACCGGCGAUUUCCGAAUGGGGAAACCCAGUGUGAUUCGUCACACUAUCAUUAACUGAAUCCAUAGGUUAAUGAGGCGAACCGGGGGAACUGAAACAUCUAAGUACCCCGAGGAAAAGAAAUCAACCGAGAUUCCCCCAGUAGCGGCGAGCGAACGGGGAGGA